GUAGUAUUUUCUAAAUUGCAACAUGUUUUCUGACUGGAAAUUGUUUCCAUUAUUCCUUGAUGCAGGGUGGGCUCAUAGGCGUUGUCUUCGAUUCAAGGUCUGUGGUUGAUGAAAUUAAAAACAAGAAUCAAGACAUGGUUUCAAACAAUUGAGUGCUUCAAAUCAAGACGAAAAUGAAAGCAUAGUUCUUAUUAUGUUCAUCAGGUUAUGCUGCCCCUUUUUCACUCACAUUCCAAACAUUACAUAACUUUGUUCACUCACAUCCGAAACAUUACAUAAACCAAAAAAAUACCUAUUUACCUUAUAAUCCAUAACUAUGCCAAGGUUAGACCAGCACUGUCACACCCUGAUCUUAGGGUAUGACUAAAGUGAUGGAUUAAGUUGAAAGAAAGAUUGGAGGAUAUUUAUUUAUUUUUCUUUUAAAUAAACUUGGAAGGAAGCAACACCUCAUAACUAAAACUUUGGCUGAGUUGACAUAAAGAGAAAGUAAGAAUCAAUAUGUUGAAAACAAGGAGGUGAAACAUGAGAACUAAACUUCCCAAGAAAUACUAAUACCUUCAAUUCCCAAAAGUUGUAAACCAGAGCUGUAACCAAAAGAUAUUAAACAAAACUUUGAACACAACUUUAAUUCCUUGUUCAAUUGCUUUCAAAGAUACACAAUGAGUUAAACGUGAGAUAUUGUUGGGAUAUCGGCCAAUUAUGUAUGUCAAGGAAACCCCAAAAGAACACAGCAAACCAAGAGAAACAACCACAGAGAUAAGACACAAAGAACACAGAUUUAAGGUGGUUCAGCAAAACCUUUGCCUACAUCCACCGGCAGAAAACACUUCCACUAUAUUAAUAAUGGGUACACCAGAAAGAAUAAGAAAACAAGGACUCUCUCACUUCUCUUCCUAUCUCUCUCCUCUCUGCCCUCUCUCACCCUCUAACCGAGAAUGGAACACACUUUGCUCUUUGUCUCUGCGAUACAAGACCUAGAACUAAACCUCUCCUUAUAUAGCCAUAAGGAUCUUCAGAUCUCUUCACCAAAUAGGAAUCCUAUUCCUAUUAGUGGUAGGCAAUAAUGCCUCAUUCCUUCUCCGUAAUCAACAAGAUUACAGGUACACCAUCAUCAAUAAGGAUUUACUUUCCUUAUUGGAACACCAUACUCUAAGACGAAACAUCUUACGAAAAACACAUGGGCUGGAAACCAAACAGAUAUAACUCUAACAUACUUCCUUUCCAAAGGAUUGUAAAACGGUACAGUAACAAAGGUAAUUGCAGAAUCCUUUCAGUACAACUUUAAAUCUUUGUUCUGCUGCUUUUAAAAAAAUGCCAUGAAACAGUAAAAAAAUCAGAAAAGAGGAAGGCUAGACAAAGCUUUACAUUUUGUUCAAUAGCAAACUUAAAUUAUAAGACCAUCCAUCACAUAUGGUAUCAUAACCAUACCAGGUCAUUGCUUAAGAGCUAGACAACUAUUUCAAUCCUUUAAACAUAACACAUCCAGCAAUGCCAUUGCAGCAACACCAUUGCAGCAACACCAACCCAAAGUAAGAAACACAUAUACUUUAGCUCAAGAAACUCCAGAAUAUCAUUAGCUUGUCCACUAAUGGACUACCUGAAAACAACAAGAAUAUAGGGAAUGAGCUUCACAAGCUCAGUAGGUGCGACAAAAUAAUCUUUAUAACAAAGAUUCUAAUUCAACAUGCACUUGGAAAUGAAAGGCAGGAACAUAUAUGAAGCUUAAGAGAAAUAACCAAUGAAAUGAGAUUAACCCCAAUAAUUGCUGCUGCACUUACGAAAGUAAGCCAGAGAUUUAGAAGCAACAUAAAUGAACUCGACUCAAAGAUAACAUUGGAAUUUCAGAUAUCACACUUUACCAAGUAUAACAAGCAUCAGCAGCCAGUAUACACAAACGAAGUAGAAGAAAGCUAAUCACGUAUAACCAGCAUCAACACUUUACUUGAACGAAGUAGAAAAAGGCUGAUCACGAGGGUGAUUUGACAACAAGACCAACAGAUAAGAACACUUACGAAUCAAUAAAAAUGUCAAUCAGAAUACUCAAGAAACUCAUGGAAUUUUCUUUCACUAGAAUUCAACAAAUCCUCAAGAUGCUGGUUGGAGCCCACCGCCCAGCUAUACCACCGAGCAAACCCCGCACAUGCGGUACCCUGAUCAGGUUUAGGGUUAAACAACCCAAGGGAGUCACAAUCCCCACUCACAUAAUUCACCGGGCCUAACCGAACAGAAUAUUUGAAAUCCAAUCAUUUCUUUCCAGGAAGUUUCACUUUCCAAACCAACUGAUCAAAUAAGGAUUUCAGAAAGAAACUUGAAAUCCCUUUUCAGAAUAUCAUAUGACACUACCCAGAAAUAGUACUGUAAAAUGGACAGAGCAGAUCUUUAGGUGAAGAUCAAAACAAUAGGUACACGAGUUUAGAACUAAUGACAAUGAGGUAGCGAACCUGAGUUCACAAACUCAUAGAUGACAAGAGGAAAUUAUCAAAGAAUGGGAGUUUGUUUCCAAGUAAAUUCAAAUAGGCAUAUCAGAGGAAUCAACUUUUAAUAUUAAACUGGUUAUGAGGUACGUAUCAAUACAUGGAUUUGAAAGCCAGCAACAAAGACUUGGGUUUUCAAACUGUUGGAGUAAUCAACAACAAAGACGAUAACUGAUAGAGAAGGAUAUAACCAAUAACGAACAACAGUACACAUAUACCCCAACAUAAUGCAAGGCAUUGAAUUACUCAAUAAACAUGAGUAGCUUUAUGAUAAUUUUGUCAAUGAAUAACGAAUACUUUCAAACAAGGAUAUCAAGUAGUACGAACUGAACUCAAUUACAGCCAGGUACAUUUUGACUUGGAACUCAUGAUUUCAUAUGGACCAAAAGGUACUGGAAACAAAAUAGACUUUGAAGUUGAAAGGGCACAUAAAUCUCUUUACUGUAUCUUAAAAGGAAUAAAAUAGAAACUGUAUAGAACUCAACAACUUUUCCUAAAUAUGACUGUUUACCCAUCAAAAAUAAGAGCAAGUCAAUAGGAUGAUUGUAGAGAAAGAAACAGAACUUAUAGUAAUGACGUCCAGGCAAGACCAAUAAUCAUGUGAAUUCAAAGAAUCUUAACGAAGAUAAACUUGAUCUAUAAUAGGAUCAUAAGCAGAUAAGAAGAAAGUAAGAAACAUGAAAGUGGGCUGCACAAGUUUUGCUAGAAGACAACGCAAAGAAUAAACAUAAAACCAGUUGGAGGAGAUAUACUGAAAAGUUCCAGCUGUAGAUUUAAAAUUUCAACUUCCUUUUUAACAAGUAUACAAAUACUGAUGGACUAAUAUAAACCAUUUAUAUGAAUGAGUUAUGAUACAAUCGGACGUCAAGACUAGAUCAAGAAAUGAACUAUCAAGUACAGCCAUAGGAAGCUUCUUUUGAGAUCAUCAAGCACUACAAUGAAACAAGAUUUGACAUGGAACAGAUUUGCACUAAAACACUUUCACGGAUAUAUACCAAAAUAUAUGGAGGCAUAAGAAAAGAUUUUGAGGAAAGAGGACGUUGGCUUUUGUACAUACUUCAAAGAACUUCAACAUGGAUAUUCAAAGGCUAAUAGUUUAUAUCAACACUAACACAUCCAUUACAAGGACACUUGAACCAUGAAUAAGCAGCUAUCAACAUACUCGUAUGAUCAUAUCAGAAAGAAUUAAACCGAAUGAGACAUCACAACAAUGAAAACUCAAUACUUCAGAUUGACAAACCAACUGCUUGUCAAUUUACAAGAAAGAAUGCAUAAGAAACAUUUCCAACAAAUACAUAUCAAACUAGAAUCAAAGCUAUAAAGAAAAGUUUGUUUUCCCUACCUCAAAUCAAGCAACUAGCAGCCAAAAUCUCCAAGCACACAAGCAUCUAUGCCCAUAGAUGAUAGCAAUCCAAUUUUUGAAAGCAAACACCCAGCUGGUACCCAAGCAAUUCAAGUUCCCUAAUUUGAAAUUCAUGGCACAAAUCAAUCAUCCACUUUAUUGGGUAAUAGCUGAAACAAGAAUUAGUUUGAGAAAGAGGACAAUGAAACUUACAGAAGCUAACAGCAAAUUGAAAAGACAAUUUCAUAUUCUUUGACAGUAGGAUUCAUGGCGAUUCUCUCCUCUUUCUUGUGAGCUAGUGAAUUGGGUGUGGUUGGUUUAGAGAAGAGAACGAUGAUCAUUAGAGAACAAAGACAGAAC
This 4176-nucleotide long non-coding RNA is filed under the name Fragaria vesca (wild strawberry). RNAcentral's name for it is "long non-coding RNA (FVES_LNC002551)". Lineage: Eukaryota; Viridiplantae; Streptophyta; Magnoliopsida; Rosales; Rosaceae. The record is from RNAcentral.